This 63-nucleotide transfer RNA is filed under the name Cicadettana calliope. RNAcentral describes it as "tRNA-Asp". The record is from RNAcentral. Lineage: Eukaryota; Metazoa; Arthropoda; Insecta; Hemiptera; Cicadidae.
GGAAAAUUAGUUUAUUAUUAAAAUAUUAAUCUGUCAGAUUAAUGAAACUUUUAGUAUUUUUCU